This 73-nucleotide transfer RNA is filed under the name Myotis lucifugus (little brown bat). It matches the Rfam family "tRNA". Rfam says of the family: Transfer RNA (tRNA) molecules are approximately 80 nucleotides in length. Their secondary structure includes four short double-helical elements and three loops (D, anti-codon, and T loops). Further hydrogen bonds mediate the characteristic L-shaped molecular structure. tRNAs have two regions of fundamental functional importance: the anti-codon, which is responsible for specific mRNA codon recognition, and the 3' end, to which the tRNAs corresponding amino acid is attached (by aminoacyl-tRNA synthetases). tRNAs cope with the degeneracy of the genetic code in two manners: having more than one tRNA (with a specific anti-codon) for a particular amino acid; and 'wobble' base-pairing, i.e. permitting non-standard base-pairing at the 3rd anti-codon position. The record is from Rfam by way of RNAcentral. Lineage: Eukaryota; Metazoa; Chordata; Mammalia; Chiroptera; Vespertilionidae.
GCCGGUGUGGCUCAGUGGAUAGAGCGUUAGCCUGCUGACCAAAGGGUCCCAGGUUCUAUUCCGGUCAAGGGCA